UAGUCCACGCCCUAAACGAUGCGAACUCGAUAUUUGCCCUUGUGGGUGAGUGUCCAAGCGAAAGCGUUAAGUUCGCCACCUGGGGAGUACGUCGGCAACGAUGAAACUCAAAGGAAUUGACGGGGGUCCGCACAAGCGGUGGAGCAUGAGGUUUAAUUCGAUGAUACGCGAGGAACCUUACCAGGGCUUAAAUGUAGUCUGACAGGGCCAGAAAUGGCUUUUUCUUCGGACAGAUUACAAGGUGCUGCAUGGUUGUCGUCAGCUCGUGCCGUGAGGUGUCAGGUUAAGUCCUAUAACGAGCGCAACCCCUGUUGUUAGUUGCCAUCGAGUAAUGUCGGGAACUCUAACAAGACUGCCGGUGCAAACCGUGAGGAAGGUGGGGAUGACGUCAAAUCAUCACGGCCCUUACGUCCUGGGCCACACACGUGCUACAAUGGUAGGUACAGAGAGCAGCCACUGCGUGAGCAGGAGCGAAUCUUCAAAACCUAUACUCAGUUCGGAUCGGAGU
Molecule: ribosomal RNA, 508 nt
Filed under: uncultured bacterium
Lineage: Bacteria
Description: bacterial SSU rRNA
Rfam family: Bacterial small subunit ribosomal RNA
Source: RNAcentral